RNAcentral lists this ribosomal RNA (857 nucleotides) under uncultured Bacteroidales bacterium. RNAcentral describes it as "bacterial SSU rRNA". It matches the Rfam family "Bacterial small subunit ribosomal RNA", at positions 28 to 877 of the family's 1533-position model. Lineage: Bacteria; Pseudomonadati; Bacteroidota; Bacteroidia; Bacteroidales. The record is from RNAcentral.
GAUGAACGCUAGCUACAGGCUUAACACAUGCAAGUCGAGGGGCAGCAUGGUCUUAGCUUGCUAAGGCCGAUGGCGACCGGCGCACGGGUGAGUAACACGUAUCCAACCUGCCGUCUACUCUUGGACAGCCUUCAGAAAGGAAGAUUAAUACAAGAUGGCAUCAUGAGUCCGCAUGUUCACAUGAUUAAAGGUAUUCCGGUAGACGAUGGGGAUGCGUUCCAUUAGAUAGUAGGCGGGGUAACGGCCCACCUAGUCUUCGAUGGAUAGGGGUUCUGAGAGGAAGGUCCCCCACAUUGGAACUGAGACACGGUCCAAACUCCUACGGGAGGCAGCAGUGAGGAAUAUUGGUCAAUGGGCGAGAGCCUGAACCAGCCAAGUAGCGUGAAGGAUGACUGCCCUAUGGGUUGUAAACUUCUUUUAUAAAGGAAUAAAGUCGGGUAUGCAUACCCGUUUGCAUGUACUUUAUGAAUAAGGAUCGGCUAACUCCGUGCCAGCAGCCGCGGUAAUACGGAGGAUCCGAGCGUUAUCCGGAUUUAUUGGGUUUAAAGGGAGCGUAGAUGGAUGUUUAAGUCAGUUGUGAAAGUUUGCGGCUCAACCGUAAAAUUGCAGUUGAUACUGGAUAUCUUGAGUGCAGUUGAGGCAGGCGGAAUUCGUGGUGUAGCGGUGAAAUGCUUAGAUAUCACGAAGAACUCCGAUUGCGAAGGCAGCCUGCUAAGCUGCAACUGACAUUGAGGCUCGAAAGUGUGGGUAUCAAACAGGAUUAGAUACCCUGGUAGUCCACACGGUAAACGAUGAAUACUCGCUGUUUGCGAUAUACAGCAAGCGGCCAAGCGAAAGCGUUAAGUAUUCCACCUGGG